This 522-nucleotide ribosomal RNA is filed under the name uncultured bacterium. Its description in RNAcentral is "bacterial SSU rRNA". It matches the Rfam family "Bacterial small subunit ribosomal RNA", at positions 340 to 878 of the family's 1533-position model. The record is from RNAcentral.
UACGGGAGGCAGCAGUGGGGGAUAUUGCGCAAUGGGGGCAACCCUGACGCAGCAACGCCGCGUGAAGGAUGAAGGUUUUCGGAUUGUAAACUUCUUUUAUUAAGGACGAAACUUGACGGUACUUAAUGAAUAAGCUCCGGCUAACUACGUGCCAGCAGCCGCGGUAAUACGUAGGGAGCAAGCGUUGUCCGGAUUUACUGGGUGUAAAGGGUGCGUAGGCGGCUUUGCAAGUCAGAUGUGAAAUCUAUGGGCUCAACCCAUAAACUGCAUUUGAAACUGUAGAGCUUGAGUGGAGUAGAGGCAGGCGGAAUUCCCCGUGUAGCGGUGAAAUGCGUAGAGAUGGGGAGGAACACCAGUGGCGAAGGCGGCCUGCUGGGCUUUAACUGACGCUGAGGCACGAAAGCGUGGGUAGCAAACAGGAUUAGAUACCCUGGUAGUCCACGCUGUAAACGAUGAUUACUAGGUGUGGGGGGUCUGACCCCUUCCGUGCCGGAGUUAACACAAUAAGUAAUCCACCUGGGG